AUGAGCUACCAGCAGGGCGCCACCGCCACGGCCUACCCUCCGCAGCAGCAGCAGGCCUACGUGGCGGCGCCGCCGCCGGCCGGCUACCCGCAGAAGGACCAGCAGUAUCCUGCCGCCGGCGGUGCCGACACCACGACGAGCCGCGGCGGCCAUGGACACCACCACGGCGGCGGCUUCUGGAGAGGCUGGUAAGUCUUUGUUUGUCCCUUCUGAGUUCUGUCUCUGCAUGCAGCAUGCACCCUUCCCAUGCAUAGCCUUGUUCAUGAUGAGAGAUGCUUAGUAUGUUUGUCUGCUUCUUGUGUUGUUGCAGCUGCGCCGCGCUCUGCUGCUGCUGCCUCCUCGACGCCUGCUUCUGAUCAAGUCGAUUUUAUCCAUCGUGCAUGCCCAGUUACGUUACGUGGUCUGACGAGUGCUCCUGCUGUUCGUCACGGUUCAUGCGGAGUCCGGACGUCAUGCAGUAGUUUGUUUUCCCUUUCCGCUUUGUUGGUUACUUCUGUGAAUAGUGCUGUUUUUGUUGGUUGCUGAGCACCAUUUCUGUCUAGUGUAUCAUGGUGAUGUUGCUCCAUCUCUUGUACAUUGACUAUGUAUAUAUUAAUAUAUAAACAUGAUUCGUUUCUCUUGUACAUAUAAACAUGGUUCCAAGUAUAACUGUGCAGAAGUCGCUUUAAUUUAUACUUCCUAAAUAUAUCUCCUUUUAGAGAUUUCACUACAAGACUACAUAUGAAGCUUUAAAGCAUGUCU
Molecule: long non-coding RNA, 741 nt
Filed under: Hordeum vulgare
Lineage: Eukaryota; Viridiplantae; Streptophyta; Magnoliopsida; Poales; Poaceae
Description: long non-coding RNA (HVUL_LNC019808)
Source: RNAcentral